ACUCCUACGGGAGGCAGCAGUGGGGAAUCUUGGACAAUGGGCGAAAGCCUGAUCCAGCAAUGCCGCGUGAGUGAAGAAGGCCUUCGGGUUGUAAAGCUCUUUCGGACGGGACGAAAUGGCAUCCGCUAAUACCGGGUGUCGAUGACGGUACCGUAAGAAGAAGCACCGGCUAACUACGUGCCAGCAGCCGCGGUAAUAC
RNAcentral lists this ribosomal RNA (199 nucleotides) under uncultured bacterium. Its description in RNAcentral is "partial 16S ribosomal RNA". It matches the Rfam family "Bacterial small subunit ribosomal RNA", at positions 335 to 526 of the family's 1533-position model. The record is from RNAcentral.